CCUACGGGAGGCAGCAGUGGGGAAUAUUGCACAAUGGGGGAAACCCUGAUGCAGCGACGCCGCGUGAGCGAAGAAGUAUUUCGGUAUGUAAAGCUCUAUCAGCAGGGAAGAAAAUGACGGUACCUGACUAAGAAGCACCGGCUAAAUACGUGCCAGCAGCCGCGGUAAUACGUAUGGUGCAAGCGUUAUCCGGAUUUACUGGGUGUAAAGGGAGCGCAGGCGGGAAGACAAGUUGGAAGUGAAAACCAUGGGCUCAACCCAUGAAUUGCUUUCAAAACUGUUUUUCUUGAGUAGUGCAGAGGUAGAUGGAAUUCCCGGUGUAGCGGUGGAAUGCGUAGAUAUCGGGAGGAACACCAGUGGCGAAGGCGGCUUACUGGACGAUGACUGACGUUGAGGCUCGAAAGCGUGGGGAGCAAACAGGAUU
This 424-nucleotide ribosomal RNA is filed under the name uncultured Fusobacterium sp. RNAcentral's name for it is "bacterial SSU rRNA". It matches the Rfam family "Bacterial small subunit ribosomal RNA", at positions 338 to 779 of the family's 1533-position model. Lineage: Bacteria; Fusobacteriati; Fusobacteriota; Fusobacteriia; Fusobacteriales; Fusobacteriaceae. The record is from RNAcentral.